Molecule: ribosomal RNA, 570 nt
Filed under: Triticum aestivum (bread wheat)
Lineage: Eukaryota; Viridiplantae; Streptophyta; Magnoliopsida; Poales; Poaceae
Description: partial small subunit ribosomal RNA
Source: RNAcentral
AUCCGUCAGUUCUAGCAAGGAAGCAAGAGGGGCAAGAGGAAGCCGUGCUGGGUUUCAUGGGAUGUAUGCUCUACACCAAAAUCAUUGGAAGGCCUCGGCUUUAAGGACAUCAAAUUAUUCAAUCUGUCGCUCUUGGCAAGACAAGCAUGACGCUUGAUUGAGGGGCCUUCGACACUGAGUGCAAGGAUACUAAUGGCCAUGUACUACCCCUCGAUUCCUUUCUUAGAUUCUGAGUUGGGAGCUUAUCCCUCGCUGAUUUGGAGGGCGAUCCUGGAUGGGCGAGAUGUUAUUGCACAAGGCAUCAUUAAAAGGAUUGGAAUGGGCGAGAACACCAACAUGUGGACGCAAAACUGGCUGCCUAGGUCGGGCAUGAUGAGACCGGUCGCUUCCCUGGUGACCAGCUCACUACAACAUGUCUCGGACCUCAUAGAUGCUUCUUCAAGUGCAUGGCGGGAGGAGGAGCUGAGGAGAAUCUUUAUUCCAAUCGACGUGGAAGUCACACUAUCUAUCCCACUGUGUACGAAGAGGAUCGACGAUUUUUGGGCUUGGGGUGAAGAUCACCAGGAAUAG